AUUGAACGCUGGCGGCAUGCUUUACACAUGCAAGUCGGACGGCAGCACAGAGAAGCUUGCUUCUUGGGUGGCGAGUGGCGAACGGGUGAGUAAUAUAUCGGAACGUACCGAGUAAUGGGGGAUAACUAAUCGAAAGAUUAGCUAAUACCGCAUAUUCUCUGAGGAGGAAAGCAGGGGACCUUCGGGCCUUGCGUUAUUCGAGCGGCCGAUAUCUGAUUAGCUAGUUGGUGGUGUAAAGGCCUACCAAGGCGACGAUCAGUAGCGGGUCUGAGUGGAUGAUCCGCCACACUGGGACUGAGACACGGCCCAGACUCCUACGGGAGGCAGCAGUGGGGAAUUUUGGACAAUGGGCGCAAGCCUGAUCCAGCCAUGCCGCGUGUCUGAAGAAGGCCUUCGGGUUGUAAAGGACUUUUGUCAGGGAAGAAAAGGCUGUUGCUAAUAUCGACAGCUGAUGACGGUACCUGAAGAAUAAGCACCGGCUAACUACGUG
This 490-nucleotide ribosomal RNA is filed under the name uncultured bacterium. RNAcentral's name for it is "partial 16S ribosomal RNA". It matches the Rfam family "Bacterial small subunit ribosomal RNA", at positions 30 to 507 of the family's 1533-position model. The record is from RNAcentral.